RNAcentral lists this ribosomal RNA (491 nucleotides) under uncultured bacterium. RNAcentral describes it as "partial 16S ribosomal RNA". It matches the Rfam family "Bacterial small subunit ribosomal RNA", at positions 29 to 506 of the family's 1533-position model. The record is from RNAcentral.
AGUGAACGCUGGCGGUAGGCCUAGCACAUGCAAGUCGAACGGCAGCACAGUAAGAGCUUGCUCUUACGGGUGGCGAGUGGCGGACGGGUGAGGAAUACAUCGGAAUCUACUUUUUCGUGGGGGAUAACGUAGGGAAACUUACGCUAAUACCGCAUACGACCUACGGGUGAAAGCAGGGGAUCUUCGGACCUUGCGCGAUUGAAUGAGCCGAUGUCGGAUUAGCUAGUUGGCGGGGUAAAGGCCCACCAAGGCGACGAUCCGUAGCUGGUCUGAGAGGAUGAUCAGCCACACUGGAACUGAGACACGGUCCAGACUCCUACGGGAGGCAGCAGUGGGGAAUAUUGGACAAUGGGCGCAAGCCUGAUCCAGCCAUACCGCGUGGGUGAAGAAGGCCUUCGGGCUGUAAAGCCCUUUUGUUGGGAAAGAAAAGCAGCAGGUUAAUACCCCGCUGUUCUGACGGUACCCAAAGAAUAAGCACCGGCUAACUUCGU